This 75-nucleotide transfer RNA is filed under the name Cordylochernes scorpioides. RNAcentral describes it as "tRNA-Thr". It matches the Rfam family "tRNA". Rfam says of the family: Transfer RNA (tRNA) molecules are approximately 80 nucleotides in length. Their secondary structure includes four short double-helical elements and three loops (D, anti-codon, and T loops). Further hydrogen bonds mediate the characteristic L-shaped molecular structure. tRNAs have two regions of fundamental functional importance: the anti-codon, which is responsible for specific mRNA codon recognition, and the 3' end, to which the tRNAs corresponding amino acid is attached (by aminoacyl-tRNA synthetases). tRNAs cope with the degeneracy of the genetic code in two manners: having more than one tRNA (with a specific anti-codon) for a particular amino acid; and 'wobble' base-pairing, i.e. permitting non-standard base-pairing at the 3rd anti-codon position. The record is from RNAcentral. Lineage: Eukaryota; Metazoa; Arthropoda; Arachnida; Pseudoscorpiones; Chernetidae.
GUCCAGGGUAGCCUAGUGGUCAUGGCAUCCGCCCGGUAAGCGGAAGGUCGUGGGUUCGAUUCCCAUCCCUUGACA